UCCUUUGUUAGUAACAACAAAGG
RNAcentral lists this small nuclear RNA (23 nucleotides) under Arabidopsis thaliana (thale cress). RNAcentral's name for it is "snRNA_16908". The record is from RNAcentral. Lineage: Eukaryota; Viridiplantae; Streptophyta; Magnoliopsida; Brassicales; Brassicaceae.